CGGAUAUGCCUGAUUGGAAAUAAAAUCUGGCGGCAGAUCGGCGCUGACGGCUCAGUUCACCGGCUGCCAGGCCUCUGGGCGUCCCUUUUUUUUUUUUUUUUUUUGGCCCCCGCCGUUGGGGGCGCUCUAACCUAAAACAACACUCAGUUGCCUGUUUCGGGGAAGCCAUCUUGGAUCGGCUGCUGCCUUGGGGCGGGGAGGGGGCAGGAGCGCCUUAAAAGAAUGGGAAGGCCUGUUCGGCGUUCCGUCCCGCGCCUGAGCUCCGGACCCCGCACGCUCCUGCAGGCAGGAUGUCCCGCAGUCGUGAGGAGGCGCUCUGGAAUGAUGCUAAACGUGGUUAGAGGCAGCCAGCGCUCGCCUCCCACCUAUCUGUAGGAGAGAAGCGGUUUUAUCAACGAGGCAAAAAUUAAUUCUUGGAAUGAGGACGGGUGUGAACCAGUCUCUAGGGAAAGCAGUGGAAGAGGACCCAUGUGCUUGGGCUCCUGCACGCAUGUAGGAGACCUGGAAGAAGCUCCUGGCUCCUGACUUCAGAUCAGCCCAGCUCUGGCUAUUGUGGCCAUUUGGCGAGUGAACCAGCAAAUAAUCUCUCUCUCUCUGUCUCUCUCUCUCUAAUUCUGCCUCUCAAAUAAAUAAAUAAAUCUAAAAAAAAAAAAAUAACAAGUGGCUUUUGCUUAUGUAUAUAUAAUUAUAGAUAUAUACUUACACAUUUA
Molecule: long non-coding RNA, 710 nt
Organism: Oryctolagus cuniculus (rabbit)
Lineage: Eukaryota; Metazoa; Chordata; Mammalia; Lagomorpha; Leporidae
Source: RefSeq, a predicted model, not a curated record